Molecule: unclassified non-coding RNA, 221 nt
Filed under: Melitaea cinxia (Glanville fritillary)
Lineage: Eukaryota; Metazoa; Arthropoda; Insecta; Lepidoptera; Nymphalidae
Description: misc RNA ENSMCXG00005014107.1
Source: RNAcentral
UUAUGUAUGUUACAUCAGAACUUUUGACCGGGUAGACCGAUUUCGACAAAUUUUGUUUUAAUCGAAAGGUGGUAUGUGUCAAUUGGUCCCAUUUAAAUUUAUUUGAGAUCUAACAACUACUUUUCGAGUUAUAUCUAAUAAUGCGUUUUUACUUGACGCUUUUUUCGUCGACCUACGUUGUAUUAUACCGCAUAACUUUCUACUUGAUGUACCGAUUUUGA